RNAcentral lists this unclassified non-coding RNA (223 nucleotides) under plant metagenome. RNAcentral describes it as "partial contains small subunit ribosomal RNA, internal transcribed spacer 1, and 5.8S ribosomal RNA". The record is from RNAcentral.
UUUCCGUAGGUGAACCUGCGGAAGGAUCAUUAUCAUGUAAUCCAGUUCCCUUGGCUGUGUUAUAUAUAUACCCACUCUGUGUACCUUCUCCUGUUGCUUCCGCUGGGUGUGUAAUUCGCCCGGCGGAAGGGUAAAAAUAACCUCUGAGUAUUGAUGAAAUCUCUGUCUGAACCGAAUAGAAAGAAAAAUGUUAAAACUUUCAGCAACGGAUCUCUUGGUUCUC